This 732-nucleotide ribosomal RNA is filed under the name uncultured Bacilli bacterium. Its description in RNAcentral is "bacterial SSU rRNA". It matches the Rfam family "Bacterial small subunit ribosomal RNA", at positions 59 to 776 of the family's 1533-position model. The record is from RNAcentral. Lineage: Bacteria; Bacillati; Bacillota; Bacilli.
AAGUAGAACGCUGAACGAGGAGCUUGCUUCUCUGGAUGAGUUGCGAACGGGUGAGUAACGCGUAGGUAACCUGCCUGGUAGCGGGGGAUAACUAUUGGAAACGAUAGCUAAUACCGCAUAAUAGUAGAUGUUGCAUGACAUUUGCUUAAAAGGUGCAAUUGCAUCACUACCAGAUGGACCUGCGUUGUAUUAGCUAGUUGGUGGGGUAACGGCUCACCAAGGCGACGAUACAUAGCCGACCUGAGAGGGUGAUCGGCCACACUGGGACUGAGACACGGCCCAGACUCCUACGGGAGGCAGCAGUAGGGAAUCUUCGGCAAUGGACGGAAGUCUGACCGAGCAACGCCGCGUGAGUGAAGAAGGUUUUCGGAUCGUAAAGCUCUGUUGUAAGAGAAGAAUGAGUGUGAGAGUGGAAAGUUCACACUGUGACGGUAUCUUACCAGAAAGGGACGGCUAACUACGUGCCAGCAGCCGCGGUAAUACGUAGGUCCCGAGCGUUGUCCGGAUUUAUUGGGCGUAAAGCGAGCGCAGGCGGUUAGAUAAGUCUGAAGUUAAAGGCUGUGGCUUAACCAUAGUACGCUUUGGAAACUGUUUAACUUGAGUGCAAGAGGGGAGAGUGGAAUUCCAUGUGUAGCGGUGAAAUGCGUAGAUAUAUGGAGGAACACCGGUGGCGAAAGCGGCUCUCUGGCUUGUAACUGACGCUGAGGCUCGAAAGCGUGGGGAGCAAACAGG